AUUGAACGCUGGCGGAAUGCUUCACACAUGCAAGUCGAACGGCAGCAUAGGUGCUUGCACCUGAUGGCGAGUGGCGAACGGGUGAGUAAUACAUCGGAACGUGCCCAGUCGUGGGGGAUAACGUAGCGAAAGUUACGCUAAUACCGCAUACGAUCUAAGGAUGAAAGCGGGGGACCGUAAGGCCUCGCGCGAUUGGAGCGGCCGAUGUCAGAUUAGGUAGUUGGUGAGGUAAAGGCUCACCAAGCCGACGAUCUGUAGCUGGUCUGAGAGGGCGACGAGCCACACUGGGACUGAGACACGGCCCAGACUCCUACGGGAGGCAGCAGUGGGGAAUUUUGGACAAUGGACGCAAGUCUGAUCCAGCCAUUCCGCGUGCAGGACGAAGGCCUUCGGGUUGUAAACUGCUUUUGUACGGAACGAAAAAGCUCUUACUAAUACUAGGAGUCCAUGAUGGUACCGUAAGAAUAAGCACCGGCUAACUACGUGCCAGCAGCCGCAGUAA
RNAcentral lists this ribosomal RNA (502 nucleotides) under uncultured bacterium. RNAcentral's name for it is "partial 16S ribosomal RNA". It matches the Rfam family "Bacterial small subunit ribosomal RNA", at positions 30 to 523 of the family's 1533-position model. The record is from RNAcentral.